Molecule: ribosomal RNA, 489 nt
Filed under: Vibrio campbellii
Lineage: Bacteria; Pseudomonadati; Pseudomonadota; Gammaproteobacteria; Vibrionales; Vibrionaceae
Description: bacterial SSU rRNA
Rfam family: Bacterial small subunit ribosomal RNA
Source: RNAcentral
AGAUUGAACGCUGGCGGCAGGCCUAACACAUGCAAGUCGAGCGGAAACGAGUUAUCUGAACCUUCGGGGGACGAUAACGGCGUCGAGCGGCGGACGGGUGAGUAAUGCCUAGGAAAUUGCCCUGAUGUGGGGGAUAACCAUUGGAAACGAUGGCUAAUACCGCAUAAUGCCUACGGGCCAAAGAGGGGGACCUUCGGGCCUCUCGCGUCAGGAUAUGCCUAGGUGGGAUUAGCUAGUUGGUGAGGUAAUGGCUCACCAAGGCGACGAUCCCUAGCUGGUCUGAGAGGAUGAUCAGCCACACUGGAACUGAGACACGGUCCAGACUCCUACGGGAGGCAGCAGUGGGGAAUAUUGCACAAUGGGCGCAAGCCUGAUGCAGCCAUGCCGCGUGUGUGAAGAAGGCCUUCGGGUUGUAAAGCACUUUCAGUCGUGAGGAAGGUGGUGUAGUUAAUAGCUGCAUUACUUGACGUUAGCGACAGAAGAAGCACG